This 497-nucleotide ribosomal RNA is filed under the name uncultured bacterium. RNAcentral describes it as "partial 16S ribosomal RNA". It matches the Rfam family "Bacterial small subunit ribosomal RNA", at positions 28 to 507 of the family's 1533-position model. The record is from RNAcentral.
GAUGAACGCUGGCGGCGUGCCUAAUACAUGCAAGUCGAGCGAACAGACGAGGAGCUUGCUCCUCUGACGUUAGCGGCGGACGGGUGAGUAACACGUGGAUAACCUACCUAUAAGACUGGGAUAACUUCGGGAAACCGGAGCUAAUACCGGAUAAUAUAUUUAACCGCAUGGUUCAAUAGUUAAAGACGGUUUUGCUGUCACUUAUAGAUGGAUCCGCGCCGCAUUAGCUAGUUGGUAAGGUAACGGCUUACCAAGGCGACGAUGCGUAGCCGACCUGAGAGGGUGAUCGGCCACACUGGAACUGAGACACGGUCCAGACUCAUACGGGAGGCAGCAGUAGGGAAUCGUCCGCAAUGGGCGAAAGCCUGACGGAGCAAAGCCGCGUGAGUGAUGAAGGUCUUCGGAUAGUAAAACUCUGUUAUUAGGGAAGAACAAAUGUGUAAGUAACUAUGCACGUCUUGAAGGUACCUAAUCAGAAAGCCACGGCUAACUACGUG